GACGAACGCUGGCGGCGUGCUUAACACAUGCAAGUCGAACGGACAGGCCCUGCUUUUGUGCGUUGCUCGAGUGGCGAACGGGUGAGUAACACGUGUGUAUCCUCUCCUUGUCUUUGUGAUAACUUCAGGAAACUGGGGCUAAUACCGCAUAGGAGCUCCUGCUGCAUGGUGGGCGUUGGAAAGAUUCGGCGGUUUGGGAUGGACUCGCGGCUUAUCCGCUUGUUGGUGGGGUAGUGGCUUACGAAGGCUUUGACGGGUAGCCGGCCUGAGAGGGGGACCGGCCACAAGGGGCCUGAGAGACGGCCCAGACUCCUACGGUAGGCAGCAGGGGGGAAUAUUACACAAUGGGCGGAAGCCAGAUGCGGCAACGCCGCGUGCGGGAUGACGUGCUUCGGGUUGUAAACCGCUUUCGCCGGUGACAAAGCGUGAGUGACGGUAAUGGGUAAAGAAGCACCGGCUAACUACGUG
Molecule: ribosomal RNA, 468 nt
Filed under: uncultured bacterium
Lineage: Bacteria
Description: partial 16S ribosomal RNA
Rfam family: Bacterial small subunit ribosomal RNA
Source: RNAcentral